CCUACGGGAGGCUGCAGUGAGGAAUAUUGGUCAAUGGGCGGAAGCCUGAACCAGCCAAGUAGCGUGCAGGAUGACGGCCCUAUGGGUUGUAAACUUCUUUUAUAUGGGAAUAAAAUGUUCCACGUGUGGGAUUUUGUAUGUACCAUAUGAAUAAGGAUCGGCUAACUCCGUGCCAGCAGCCGCGGUAAUACGGAGGAUCCGAGCGUUAUCCGGAUUUAUUGGGUUUAAAGGGAGCGUAGGUGGAUUGUUAAGUCAGUUGUGAAAGUUUGCGGCUCAACCGUAAAAUUGCAGUUGAAACUGGCAGUCUUGAGUACAGUAGAGGUGGGCGGAAUUCGUGGUGUAGCGGUGAAAUGCUUAGAUAUCACGAAGAACUCCGAUGGCGAAGGCAGCUCACUGGACUGCAACUGACACUGAGGCUCGAAAGUGUGGGUAUCAAACAGGAUUAGAUACCCUAGUAGUC
This 460-nucleotide ribosomal RNA is filed under the name uncultured bacterium. RNAcentral's name for it is "partial 16S ribosomal RNA". It matches the Rfam family "Bacterial small subunit ribosomal RNA", at positions 338 to 795 of the family's 1533-position model. The record is from RNAcentral.